GCCGGAGUGAGCUCUUCCGGGGCGCGGAUAGGCGCCGGAAGUCCCGCGAGUCCCGCCCUGCUUCGUCUCCUGCCCAGUUCCAGUUGGCUGGCUGGCCGUUACAGGACUGGGAUGGCAGAGCUGGACCUGAGGACGAGAGGCUUGUUGCCGUUCGCGAGUUUUUAGAGCAUAGUUUUUCUCCGAGUUGUAUUGCUUUUCCCGAAGGGGUCGAAUAGCUGCCCUGGUUAGUGGCGAGGUUUGGCGCAGUCGCUGGCUGUGCAUGGUGACGGCGUUUCGGGCUUAUUUAGCUCUCGAUCAGUCUGGAUUGUGUGGCAGCGCACGGAUAUUCGCACAAAUGCAUGCAAUUCAUGUCCAGGGAGAGGUCUCUGAGUUAGCUGUCUCUCGCUGGAGACUAACCUGUGCCAGGGAGCCUGGGCUUGUGUAUCACUACGUGUUGCAACAAAGGUCCUGUUUCGGUACAUUUGAUCUCCUUGAGCCUUUGGGCAGAGUCGUGAGUGAUGGGAUAUUUGAUCUGAGUGGGUUUUGUGAGCCAUAGUACAAAGUCCCUAGGAUGUGUGUGCCUGUAUUCUGGGGUGUGCAUUUUUGGAGCUCUCUGGCCUUUCAGUCCCUGGGUGUGAGAUCCCUUUGUAGGCGUGUGCACCUGAGAUUGUGAGACCUCUGAGUUUUUGAUUCUGGUCCCAAGUUGUGAUGUCUCUGAGCUGCUUUAAGGAUGGGUUUGUCUAAAGGUGCGAAGUCUCAGCUGCUUGGGGAUCUGUGCACAGGGUGCAGGUUUUCCAUUUGUCUGGGGACUUUAUCUGAAGGGUACAUGAUGUUUUUGAGUUAUUAAAAGUUCUCUUUCCGUUUAGGGUUUUUGCAUUAGGUUGGUAAGUGUCCGAGUGGUUUGGGAGUCAGUCUCCAUGGUGUGAAGUAUCUGUGCAGUUCUCAUUUGUUUCUGUCUUGAAGACUUUGGUCUGUUUGGAUGGUCUUUGUCACAGCGUGUAUGGUUAUGGUCUCAGCUGUGUUUGAGGGUCUGAGACAAGUUGUGUGCUGUCUGUGCAGAGAUUCAGUGAGCUCUUUUUGGUGUCUCUGGGUAUCUAUCUGGGCUGUCUGGAGUCUCUGUGUCAGAAAUAAAACCUCUUAUGUUCUUGACUGUGAUGUCUCUGUCCAGGAACUGAGGGUUUGGAAACUGGCAGACAUGAUUCCAAGACAUGGAACCUGACGUGCUGACUGUGUGUUGUUGAGCAUAUCAGUUGUCUCCUGGAAUCUCAGUAUGUAUCAUAAUUAAUACAGUGGGGCCAGUGCAUGUUUUGCAGGGUACCUGUGCAUGUUAGCGAUGUGUGCAAAGGGCCUCGCUUCAGACUAUCCUUCAGCAAAUGUUUUCUGAGCACCUUUCAUAUACAUGAGCACUGCUGGAGGAGUUUGUGACAGGACAGAACUGACCAAGCCUCUCCUUUCAUAGACUUGGUGGUCAGUAAAUAAAUCAAGGGUGGCAGGCACUAUGAAGAAAGAUAAUGCUAGAUCAGGGGAAAGGGUAUAUGUAGGUAUGAUGUUCUUAUUUUGUUCAAGGUAAGGAGGGAAAGUCUCCCUGAAAGAUGGCAAGUAAGCAGAGAUCUGGAGGAAGUGAGGGAGCAGGCUAUGGGGUUAUCUAAGGGAAGAGCAUUCCAGACAGAAGGAACAACAAAUGCAACUGUCCUGGCAUGGAAAUCUACUUGGCGUGCUCCUGAAUGUCAAGGAGUCCUGCGAUGCACUGGGUUUGCACUAGGGUGUUUUCCAAUGAGUCAGCUAUUCGCAUCAGGUGGCCAAAGUAUUGCAGCUUCAGCAUCAGUCCUUCCAGGAAAUAUGUUAACAAGAGCAGAAAGACAUUUCGAGGAAUUGAAGGACACUUCUCUGCCUCUGCCCAUUUGGUAUCAAGACGGGUUCAAUAAACAACAGAAGUCUGGGAAAUUAAUCUUACGGGGAAAGGGAUAUGCUUGUAUUUCCCCAGAUGGAUCCAACAAACUUUUUCCUCGAAACAUUCGACCCAAGGGGGCCCCCGACAUUCAAAAUGGAGACGAAACAACAAGAACCCCAGGAGGAAGAAAUUCCAAUACGGGCCAUGGCAGCUCUACAGAUCUCCAGAAAGCGCCGCCCUCGGCGGCAUCAACCCUAUGACCUCCCCUCUUGGGGACAAAUAAAAACCCUCACUAAUCAAGUUAAAAAUCUGAUUUCUCAACAGGAAAUGCCUCAGAGUCCUGAAAACCUUCCUAUUGCUAUCCUGACCUGCGCGACCCCCCGGUCAAGCCAGAUUAACAAAUCAGACUUAACUGGGCUUACUUACCCAACCCCCCUUUAUUACAGGUCAUAAAAUGGACUGAGAAAAGACCAGUCCUAUCAACCAGUGACUCCAUCCAUAUGCCCCCUCCCUGGAAGCCUCACACCCUGGGGAGGAGGGAAAACUAAUGAACAUUUCUUUAGGCUAUGAAGUCCUUCCUUUGACUGGGCCCAGGAAAAUUAGGCAUAUACCUCGGCCGACAAACUUGGGCUUUCAUUCUGCCUCCAAAAGAAGACUUUCAGACAUUGCUGCCCUUUCUUUUUCUGUGAACCAUGUUUACUACUGAAACUUUAGGGAAAGAGUUAGGGAAAGAACAAAAAACCAUUAUAUAUUAUGCUGCUAAAGUGGCUUUAAAGGUUGCUAACCCUAUGUUGAAACAUUACCAUGACAAAGGACUUCUUGGCUGGCUUGAAGGUGGGUGGAAUAGCACCUCCUCCUCCUGGAAUCAUCCUUGAUAAACAAUUUGGGCCAGAACAAUGGGACAUUUGGAAACUUGCUGCCAGCACCGAAGAACUUGGGACUUAGACCGGACAUUUCACAGGGAACAGUCGUGCUCAUUGUAACUAUUUCUUUUGCUAUAAUCAGUCAUAUUUUAUACAGGCCUGUGUCCCACUGACAAUUUAAUCUGUAACUUGUAUUAAUUGCCAAUUUUGUGUUACUCCUGUUCAAUUCAAUCAUAGUACUU
Molecule: long non-coding RNA, 2975 nt
Organism: Cervus elaphus (red deer)
Lineage: Eukaryota; Metazoa; Chordata; Mammalia; Artiodactyla; Cervidae
Exons: 3
Source: RefSeq, a predicted model, not a curated record